RNAcentral lists this transfer RNA (83 nucleotides) under Gomphillus americanus. It matches the Rfam family "tRNA". Rfam says of the family: Transfer RNA (tRNA) molecules are approximately 80 nucleotides in length. Lineage: Eukaryota; Fungi; Ascomycota; Lecanoromycetes; Ostropales; Graphidaceae. The record is from Rfam by way of RNAcentral.
GCGCUGUUAGCUCAGUGGUAGAGCGGGACAUUGCAGCUAUUCCAGUUAUGUCUAGGUCGUUCGUUCAAUCCGGACACAGCGCU